GAUGAACGCUAGCUACAGGCUUAACACAUGCAAGUCGAGGGGAAACGACAUUGAAAGCUUGCUUUUGAUGGGCGUCGACCGGCGCACGGGUGAGUAACGCGUAUCCAACCUGCCCACCACUUGGGGAUAACCUUGCGAAAGUAAGACUAAUACCCAAUGAUAUCUCUAGAAGACAUCUGAAAGGGAUUAAAGAUUUAUCGGUGAUGGAUGGGGAUGCGUCUGAUUAGCUUGUUGGCGGGGUAACGGCCCAACAAGGCGACGAUCAGUAGGGGUUCUGAGAGUAAGGUCCCCCACAUUGGAACUGAGACACGGUCCAAAAUCCUACGGGAGGCAGCAGUGAGGAAUAUUGGUCAAUGGACGAGAGUCUGAACCAGCCAAGUAGCGUGCAGGAUGACGGCCCUAUGGGUUGUAAACUGCUUUUAUAAGGGAAUAAAGUGAGUCUCGUGAGACUUUUUGCAUGUACCUUAUGAAUAAGGACCGGCUAAUUCCGUGCCAGCAGCCGCGGUAA
This 508-nucleotide ribosomal RNA is filed under the name uncultured bacterium. RNAcentral describes it as "partial 16S ribosomal RNA". It matches the Rfam family "Bacterial small subunit ribosomal RNA", at positions 28 to 523 of the family's 1533-position model. The record is from RNAcentral.